CAGCCGCCACGGGAAAACGAAGGGGGCUAGCGUUGCUCGGAAUGACUGGGCGUAAAGGGCGCGUAGGCGGCGAUCAAAGUCAGGCGUGAAAUUCCUGGGCUCAACCUGGGGGCUGCGCUUGAUACUUGGUUGCUUGAGUGGGGAAGAGGGUCGUGGAAUUCCCAGUGUAGAGGUGAAAUUCGUAGAUAUUGGGAAGAACACCGGUGGCGAAGGCGGCGACCUGGUCCUUGACUGACGCUGAGGCGCGAAAGCGUGGGGGGCAAACAGGAUUAGAUACCCCAGUAGUCCCUGUCUCUUAUAC
RNAcentral lists this ribosomal RNA (301 nucleotides) under uncultured bacterium. RNAcentral describes it as "partial 16S ribosomal RNA". It matches the Rfam family "Bacterial small subunit ribosomal RNA", at positions 509 to 807 of the family's 1533-position model. The record is from RNAcentral.